UCUUGGUCAUUUAGAGGAAGUAAAAGUCGUAACAAGGUCUCCGUUGGUGAACCAGCGGAGGGAUCAUUACCGAGUUUACAACUCCCAAACCCAUGUGAACAUACCUACUGUUGCUUCGGCGGGAUUGCCCCGGGCGCCUCGUGCGCCCCGGAUCAGGCGCCCGCCUAGGAACCUUAACUCUUGUUUUAUUUUGAAUCUUCUGAGUAGUUUUUACAAAUAAAUAAAAACUUUCAACAACGGAUCUCUUGGUUCUGGCAUCGAUGAAGAACGCAGCGAAAUGCGAUAAGUAAUGUGAAUUGCAGAAUUCAGUGAAUCAUCGAAUCUUUGAACGCACAUUGCGCCCGCCAGUAUUCUGGCGGGCAUGCCUGUCUGAGCGUCAUUUCAACCCUCACGCCCCUAGGGCGUGGUGUUGGGGAUCGGCCAAAGCCCGCGAGGGAUGGCCGGCCCCUAAAUCUAGUGGCGGACCCGUCGUGGCCUCCUCUGCGAAGUAGUGAUAUUCCGCAUCGGAGAGCGACGAGCCCCUGCCGUUAAACCCCCAACUUCCAAGGUGACCUCAGAUCAGGUAG
This 566-nucleotide ribosomal RNA is filed under the name Clonostachys rosea. RNAcentral describes it as "eukaryotic LSU rRNA". The stretch from base 226 to 379 matches the Rfam family "5.8S ribosomal RNA". Lineage: Eukaryota; Fungi; Ascomycota; Sordariomycetes; Hypocreales; Bionectriaceae. The record is from RNAcentral.